RNAcentral lists this ribosomal RNA (253 nucleotides) under uncultured bacterium. RNAcentral describes it as "partial 16S ribosomal RNA". It matches the Rfam family "Bacterial small subunit ribosomal RNA", at positions 524 to 776 of the family's 1533-position model. The record is from RNAcentral.
UACGAAGGGGGCUAGCGUUGCUCGGAAUCACUGGGCGUAAAGCGCGUGUAGGCGGUCCGGUAAGUCCGCUGUGAAAGUCGGGGGCUCAACCCUCGAAUGCCGGUGGAUACUGUCGGGCUAGAGUCCGGAAGGGGCGAGUGGAAUUCCUGGUGUAGCGGUGAAAUGCGCAGAUAUCAGGAGGAACACCAAUGGCGAAGGCAGCUCGCUGGGACGUGACUGACGCUGAGACGCGAAAGCGUGGGGAGCAAACAGG